RNAcentral lists this ribosomal RNA (449 nucleotides) under uncultured bacterium. Its description in RNAcentral is "partial 16S ribosomal RNA". It matches the Rfam family "Bacterial small subunit ribosomal RNA", at positions 354 to 796 of the family's 1533-position model. The record is from RNAcentral.
GUCGAGAAUCUUUCACAAUGGGGGCAACCCUGAUGGAGCGACGCCGCGUGGAGGAUAAGGUCUUCGGAUUGUAAACUCCUGUCAUGCGUGAACAAGGUUGCUUGGAUAAUACCUGAGCAAAUUGAUGGUAGCGCAAGAGGAAGAGACGGCUAACUCUGUGCCAGCAGCCGCGGUAAUACAGAGGUCUCAAGCGUUGUUCGGAAUCACUGGGCGUAAAGGGUGCGUAGGUGGCGUGGCAAGUCAGAUGUGAAAGCCCGGGGCUCAACCUCGGAACUGCAUCCGAUACUGCCAUGCUAGAGUACUGGAGGGGUGACUAGAAUUCUCGGUGUAGCAGUGAAAUGCGUAGAUAUCGAGAGGAAUACCAAAGGCGUAGGCAGGUCACUGGACAGUUACUGACACUGAGGCACGAAGGCCAGGGGAGCGAACGGGAUUAGAUACCCUUGUAGUCC